Molecule: ribosomal RNA, 791 nt
Filed under: uncultured Myxococcaceae bacterium
Lineage: Bacteria; Pseudomonadati; Myxococcota; Myxococcia; Myxococcales; Myxococcaceae
Description: bacterial SSU rRNA
Rfam family: Bacterial small subunit ribosomal RNA
Source: RNAcentral
GAGCGCGAAUAGGGGCAACCCUUAGUAGAGCGGCGCACGGGUGCGUAACACGUGGGUAAUCUGCCCUGAAGCCUGGGAUAACCAGCCGAAAGGUUGGCUAAUACCGGAUAAGACCUCGGACUCUUCGGAGUCUGCGGGAAAAGGUGGCCUCUGUAUACAAGCUAUCGCUUCUGGAUGAGCCCGCGGCCCAUCAGCUAGUUGGCGGGGUAAUGGCCCACCAAGGCGACGACGGGUAGCUGGUCUGAGAGGACGAUCAGCCACACUGGAACUGAGACACGGUCCAGACUCCUACGGGAGGCAGCAGUGGGGAAUUUUGCGCAAUGGGCGAAAGCCUGACGCAGCAACGCCGCGUGUGUGAUGAAGGUCUUCGGAUUGUAAAGCACUUUCGGCCGGGACGAAAACCCGGAGGCUAACAUCCUCCGGCUUGACGGUACCGGAAGAAGAAGCACCGGCUAACUCUGUGCCAGCAGCCGCGGUAAUACAGAGGGUGCAAGCGUUGUUCGGAAUUAUUGGGCGUAAAGCGCGUGUAGGCGGCUUUGCAAGUCGGGUGUGAAAGCCCUCGGCUCAACCGAGGAAGUGCGCCCGAAACUGCAGAGCUUGAGUACCGGAGAGGAUGGCGGAAUUCCCCAAGUAGAGGUGAAAUUCGUAGAUAUGGGGAGGAACACCGGUGGCGAAGGCGGCCAUCUGGACGGAUACUGACGCUGAGACGCGAAAGCGUGGGUAGCAAACAGGAUUAGAUACCCUGGUAGUCCACGCCGUAAACGAUGAGAACUAGGUGUCGUGGGUGUUGA